Spodoptera frugiperda (fall armyworm) is the source of this 435-nucleotide long non-coding RNA. RefSeq lists it as uncharacterized. NCBI's taxonomy places the organism in Eukaryota, Metazoa, Arthropoda, Insecta, Lepidoptera, Noctuidae. The transcript has 3 exons. The record is from RefSeq and is a predicted model, not a curated record.
AAAAUCAUCUACCGACAAAAACCGUAUAAUUAAUAUACCACACUGAACUGUGUGGUAUAUUAUAUACUCUAUCGCGUUCACUCAGAUCGUAUAAAUUCGUGUGCAUCACCAAGUUACCUGCCAUUCUGUACCUGGACUUCAUAGCGUCUACAUCUACCUAGUAAGCUUCUUAUGGAGCCAGUCAGCCUAGUACCGGAGGAACUACGGAGAUACGCCAUAGAUUGCCAGACCCAAGCUUAAUAAUAAAGCAACAAUGGUUGGGUUGGAACUACAACCCCAGCUCAUGACGUCUCUCAACAGAUUGAAGCUGCAGUUUGUGACCGCAAUGAAGGUUUUCAGAGAAAACAACUUUAAUUUAUUUGAAAGAUGCUGAAGGCUGCCUCGGUGUGUGAUCUUACAAGUAAAGAUGGAAUAAAAAUAAAUAUUUUAUCCUAA